This 225-nucleotide long non-coding RNA is filed under the name Olea europaea (common olive). Its description in RNAcentral is "long non-coding RNA (OEUR_LNC000939)". Lineage: Eukaryota; Viridiplantae; Streptophyta; Magnoliopsida; Lamiales; Oleaceae. The record is from RNAcentral.
GAGAGCCAAAAACAAGAGGAAGAAAAACUUCCCUGCUUAGUGCAAAUCAAUCUUCUCUUGCCUUUUCUUUGUGAAUCUGUCUAUGUGACUGAUAAUGGCCUUCAAAUUGGAGAUACCUUUGUGGUGUGGAUCAAGUUUCUGAGCCGAAUCAUAAAGGGGAAAACCGUUCCUUUUAUUUUCAGAUUUUUGGUCUUGAUUUUCUUCAAUUUACUUUGCAAAUCCUUA